RNAcentral lists this ribosomal RNA (497 nucleotides) under uncultured bacterium. Its description in RNAcentral is "partial 16S ribosomal RNA". It matches the Rfam family "Bacterial small subunit ribosomal RNA", at positions 28 to 507 of the family's 1533-position model. The record is from RNAcentral.
GAUGAACGCUGGCGGCGUGCCUAAUACAUGCAAGUCGAGCGAACAGACGAGGAGCUUGCUCCUCUGACGUUAGCGGCGGACGGGUGAGUAACACGUGGAUAACCUACCUAUAAGACUGGGAUAACUUCGGGAAACCGGAGCUAAUACCGGAUAAUAUAUUGAACCGCAUGGUUCAAUAGUGAAAGACGGUUUUGCUGUCACUUAUAGAUGGAUCCGCGCCGCAUUAGCUAGUUGGUAAGGUAACGGCUUACCAAGGCAACGAUGCGUAGCCGACCUGAGAGGGUGAUCGCCCACACUGGAACUGAGACACGGUCCAGACUCCUACGGGAGGCAGCAGUAGGGAAUCUUCCGCAAUGGGCGAAAGCCUGACGGAGCAACGCCGCGUGAGUGAUGAAGAUCUUCGGAUCGUAAAACUCUGUUAUUAGGGAAGAACAAAUGUGUAAGUAACUAUGCACGUCUUGACGGUACCUAAUCAGAAAGCCACGGCUAACUACGUG